This 617-nucleotide long non-coding RNA is filed under the name Malus domestica (apple). RNAcentral's name for it is "long non-coding RNA (MDOM_LNC004197)". The record is from RNAcentral. Lineage: Eukaryota; Viridiplantae; Streptophyta; Magnoliopsida; Rosales; Rosaceae.
GAACAGUCUUGAUCAAGAGUGUGUGAAGCUUUCUACGAGUUGUAGUUGCCCUUCAUUGAUCAAGCUUUUGUUGGCACCAUAAAUUGGUUUUGCUCCACACUGUCUUAAUCAAGAGUGUAUGAAACUUUUGAGAAUUGUGGUUGCCCUUCAUUGAUGAAGCUCUUGUUGGCACCAUAAAUUGAUUUUGCUUCACACUGUCUUGAUCAAGAGUGUGUGAAGCUUUUGAGAAUUGUGGUUGCCCUCCAUUGAUGAAGCUCUUGUUGGCACCAUAAAUUGAUUUUGCUUCACACUGUCUUGAUCAAGAGUGUGUGAAGCUUUAUACGAGUUGUAAAGUUUGCAUUGUUACAAAAGAGAAAUGUCUGAAGCAAUUGCAAGAGGGCUGAAUAGCUUGAUCUUCGUAUGCCAUGCACUGAAAUUGUUGUUGGCUUGCAAUAAGACUUUGUUGGUGACUAUAACUCUUGUUGGGCAUAAGUGCUCCCCUAGUUGAGUUGUAAAACUUGAGGGUUUUUUAUUAUUUAUGAAUGCUAGGAGUUCACAUGUACAAGUUGUACCACUCGUCUUCUGGUUGGUGGAAUGAAUGGUGAGUUGCUUUCAUCACUUGGUUGGUGGAACGAAGG